This 503-nucleotide ribosomal RNA is filed under the name uncultured bacterium. RNAcentral describes it as "partial 16S ribosomal RNA". It matches the Rfam family "Bacterial small subunit ribosomal RNA", at positions 30 to 523 of the family's 1533-position model. The record is from RNAcentral.
AUUGAACGCUGGCGGCAGGCUUAACACAUGCAAGUCGAGCGGAGUGAUGGUGCUUGCACUAUCACUUAGCGGCGGACGGGUGAGUAAUGCUUAGGAAUCUGCCUAUUAGUGGGGGACAACAUCUCGAAAGGGAUGCUAAUACCGCAUACGUCCUACGGGAGAAAGCAGGGGAUCACUUGUGACCUUGCGCUAAUAGAUGAGCCUAAGUCGGAUUAGCUAGUUGGUGGGGUACAGGCCUACCAAGGCGACGAUCUGUAGCGGGUCUGAGAGGAUGAUCCGCCACACUGGGACUGAGACACGGCCCAGACUCCGACGGGAGGCAGCAGUGGGGAAUGUUGGUCAAUGGGGGGAACCCUGAUCCAGCCAUGCCGCGUGUGUGAAGAAGGCCUUAUGGUUGUAAAGCACUUUAAGCGAGGAGGAGGCUCUUUUGGUUAAUACCCAAGAUGAGUGGACGUUACUCGCAGAAUAAGCACCGGCUAACUCUGUGCCAGCAGCCGCAGUAA